Molecule: non-coding RNA, 110 nt
Organism: Acanthosepion pharaonis
Lineage: Eukaryota; Metazoa; Mollusca; Cephalopoda; Sepiida; Sepiidae
Source: the annotation of a GenBank genome assembly
UAUGGCCAUACUAAUUUGAAAUAACAAUUCUCAUACGAUCACUGAAGUUAAGCAAUAUCAAGCCUGGUCAGUACCUAGUUGGGUGAUUGCUUGGGAAUACUAGGUGUUAU